UCAGAAGUAUAUAACAACUUCCGAAUUUUAAUGAAAAUUAUAAUAACUGUCGCAAGAUUUUAAACAAAUACAACCCGGAAUUCAAAUCAGCACUAACAUUAAUAUACAAGCCCACGUAUAUUUAAUCGACAAUUACCUAUAAUUGGAUCAAUAAAAUAUCAAAGAUUAUUAUUAUUAUCAUUAUUAUCAUUGUCAAUAAAACAAUAAUAAUAAUUAAUAAUAAUGGUAAAAUUAAUAUCUUAUUCUAUUCUAGUCUCCAUAAUGGCUCUGCUAAACCCGCUCGAACCACAGGAAUCCUUCAUCUGCAACUAAACCCCCACCUGCUGGAACUAGAUUAUAUCGUUAUCAACUAUCCACUACCUCUUUCUCCCAGCCAAUCACGUCAUGAACAUCACCUCCCUGUACCCCUGUUGCUGCCGACCCCUGGACUGCAAUAGGCUGGCCAGAUUCCGGCUGUUCCACUAUUGUCUAUACCUCCCGUCAAAUCCAACCAACGCUCAAUUGCUCCAUUAAUACUAGCUUUGCAAUCUCCCUAAUUCAGUCAUCACCUUCAUCCUUUUCAUAAGCCAAAAGUCCUUGAAAACCCCCUGGUCCAAUUGAUUCCGAAACACACCCAACAAUAAACCAACAAUCACCAUUGUCAUGAAACCUCCGACUGCUACUGUUUGCCCCAACGUCACUGCAACCAAUCUCAGCCAACCAUCUCUGCCAAUAGCCGCUAACAUGUCCAAUACUACACCUCCCCCAUCUGUUUUUCCCACCUUCUACUACCGCCUAACAUUCUAUCUAUUCCUUGACGCCUCCAUUCUCUGUUUACGCCAGCAAUCAAUUUACAAGCACUACUAUCCCCUGUAUUUCAGCCACGCUUUUAUUCAAGCGAUUCGCGUCCUCAGUUUCCGUAUACAAUUCUUGCACCCCUGUUCUAGCACCCAGCACCUCCGUUGAGUAAUUCCUUCCGCCACCAGCCACUACAAUCGCUGCUCAACACUACAACUCCGCUAGCUUCUCUCUCACGGACAUUUAAUCAAACAGCUAGCCCGCAUCUCUCUUUUCAUCAGCCCUGUAACCACCACCGCCCGCU
This 1081-nucleotide long non-coding RNA is filed under the name Daucus carota (carrot). RNAcentral's name for it is "long non-coding RNA (DCAR_LNC004244)". The record is from RNAcentral. Lineage: Eukaryota; Viridiplantae; Streptophyta; Magnoliopsida; Apiales; Apiaceae.